GUUCACGAGUCCUACGUAUUAGCCCCGGCUUAGUAGGCGGCAACCCUCCAACGCGGUGGGGUGCUCCGGGUGACGAACUGGUCAGGAAACUGACAAGCGCGGUAU
This 105-nucleotide non-coding RNA is filed under the name Actinomycetota bacterium. RNAcentral's name for it is "Actinobacteria bacterium SAM-IV sequence". It matches the Rfam family "SAM (S-adenosyl methionine) riboswitch aptamer". Rfam says of the family: SAM-IV is a mRNA element that regulates gene expression via direct sensing of S-adenosylmethionine (SAM or AdoMet). Lineage: Bacteria; Bacillati; Actinomycetota. The record is from RNAcentral.